RNAcentral lists this ribosomal RNA (638 nucleotides) under Mycale laevis. Its description in RNAcentral is "SSU rRNA". It matches the Rfam family "Eukaryotic small subunit ribosomal RNA", at positions 414 to 1073 of the family's 1831-position model. Lineage: Eukaryota; Metazoa; Porifera; Demospongiae; Poecilosclerida; Mycalidae. The record is from RNAcentral.
CUCCAGGAGGCAGCAGGCGCGCAAUUACCCAAUCCCGACUCGGGGAGGUAGUGACAAUAAAUAACAAUGCUGGGCUAUCGUAGUCCGGCAAUUGGAAUGAGAACAAUUUAAAUCCCUUAACGAGGAACAAUUGGAGGGCAAGUCUGGUGCCAGCAGCCGCGGUAAUUCCAGCUCCAAUAGCGUAUAUUAAAGUUGUUGCAGUUAAAAAGCUCGUAGUUGGAUUUCGGGGCGGCCCGACUGGUCCGCCGCGAGGUGAGCACUGGUCGGCCGCUCUUCCUCUCGGAAGCCCCGACUGCUCUUCGUUGCAGUGGUCGGGGAGUUCGGGACGUUUACUUUGAAAAAAUUAGAGUGUUCAAGGCAGGCCGUCGCCUGAAUACAUUAGCAUGGAAUAAUGGAAGAGGACCUCGGUCCCGUUUUGUUGGUUUCUUGGACCGAAGUAAUGAUUAAGAGGGACAGUUGGGGGCAUUCGUAUUUAAUUGUCAGAGGGUGAAAUUCUCGGAUUUAUGAAAGACGAACGACUGCRAAAGCAUUUGCCAAGGAUGUUUUCAUUAAUCAAGAACGAAAGUUAGGGGUUCGAAGACGAUCAGAUACCGUCGUAGUCCUAACCAUAAACUAUGCCGACUAGGGAUCGGUGGAUG